GCGAAAACUUUACAAUGCUGGCAACAGCGAUAAGGGAACCUCGAGUGCCAGGUUACAAAUCUGGCUGUCGAGAUGCCUAAAAAGCAUUUCAUAGCAAGGGCCGGGCAAGACCGGUGCCAGCCGCCGCGGUAACACCGGCGGCUCGAGUGGUAACCGUUAUUAUUGGGUCUAAGGGUCUGUAGCCGGCCGGAUAAGUCUCUUGGGAAAUCUGGCAGCUCAACUGUCAGGCUUUCAGGAGAUACUGUCUGGCUCGAGGCCGGGAGAGGUGAGAGGUACUUCAGGGGUAGGGGUGAAAUCUUGUAAUCCUUGAAGGACCACCAGUGGCGAAGGCGUCUCACCAGAACGGACCUGACGGCAAGGGACGAAAGCGUGGGGAUCAAACA
RNAcentral lists this ribosomal RNA (383 nucleotides) under uncultured prokaryote. RNAcentral's name for it is "bacterial SSU rRNA". It matches the Rfam family "Archaeal small subunit ribosomal RNA", at positions 341 to 725 of the family's 1478-position model. The record is from RNAcentral.